This 265-nucleotide ribosomal RNA is filed under the name uncultured archaeon. RNAcentral describes it as "partial 16S ribosomal RNA". It matches the Rfam family "Archaeal small subunit ribosomal RNA", at positions 714 to 982 of the family's 1478-position model. The record is from RNAcentral.
AGACGUCUACAUUAGAUACCCCCGUAGUCCCAGCCGUAAACUAUGCGCGUUAGGUGUAUCGGUGACCACGAGUCACCGAGGUGCCGAAGGGAAACCGUGAAACGUGCCGCCUGGGAAGUACGGUCGCAAGGCUGAAACUUAAAGGAAUUGGCGGGGGAGCACCACAACAGGUGGAGCCUGCGGUUUAAUUGGACUCAACGCCGGGAAGCUCACCAGAUAAGACAGCGGAAUGAUUGCCGGGCUGAAGACUCUGCAUGACUAGCUG